Molecule: ribosomal RNA, 618 nt
Filed under: uncultured bacterium
Lineage: Bacteria
Description: bacterial SSU rRNA
Rfam family: Bacterial small subunit ribosomal RNA
Source: RNAcentral
CCUACGGGAGGCAGCAGUGGGGAAUUUUGGACAAUGGGGGCAACCCUGAUCCAGCAAUGCCGCGUGAGUGAAGAAGGCCCUCGGGUUGUAAAGCUCUUUUGUCAGGGAAGAAACGGUGGGUUCUAAUACAGCCUGCUAAUGACGGUACCUGAAGAAUAAGCACCGGCUAACUACGUGCCAGCAGCCGCGGUAAUACGUAGGGUGCAAGCGUUAAUCGGAAUUACUGGGCGUAAAGCGUGCGCAGGCGGUUAUAUAAGACAGAGGUGAAAUCCCCGGGCUCAACCUGGGAACUGCCUUUGUGACUGUAUGGCUAGAGUGUGUCAGAGGGGGGUAGAAUUCCACGUGUAGCAGUGAAAUGCGUAGAUAUGUGGAGGAAUACCGAUGGCGAAGGCAGCCCCCUGGGAUAACACUGACGCUCAUGCACGAAAGCGUGGGGAGCAAACAGGAUUAGAUACCCUGGUAGUCCACGCCCUAAACGAUGUCUACUAGUUGUCGGGACUUAAUUGUCUUGGUAACGCAGCUAACGCGUGAAGUAGACCGCCUGGGGAGUACGGUCGCAAGNUUAAAACUCAAAUGAAUUGACGGCUGAGAGNGCGAGGACGACGACGAGGGAGGAGG